Rhinolophus ferrumequinum (greater horseshoe bat) is the source of this 278-nucleotide long non-coding RNA. RefSeq lists it as uncharacterized. The record is from RefSeq and is a predicted model, not a curated record. NCBI's taxonomy places the organism in Eukaryota, Metazoa, Chordata, Mammalia, Chiroptera, Rhinolophidae. The transcript is spliced from 3 exons.
GGUAAAAUCUGACCUCUCCUUAUCCCACUAGCAGCCUGCCUGACCUUGUUCAUAGAACAGCCUCGUCUUACGGGCAUCAGACCAGUCCAGCCAGGUCAAGGUGUGGACUGCACAUUGAAGCCCACAGAAUUAGCUAAGCUAACCGGGAACCCAGUUGGAAAAUUACAAGUGCCCUGGAUCUACAAAGCAGAGAUUAUUUCAUCCAAAGGAAUGCAGCCACCCUCGAGAAAGUGCAGUUCUACAAUAAAGGAAAAAAGUCAAUCCAUAAUACCAAUAAG